CCCCGCCCCGCCCCUCCCUCCGGCUCCCGACGGAGGCUCCGCCCCCAGCCCGAGACUUGGCGCCGUCCGACCCGGGAGCGAGCGCCCCUUUGCACCCUUCUCCAAGGAUGGCCCCGCGGGGCUCUGCAGGGACGAGUUUCGGUGUCUGCAGCCUUCCCUUUCCCAUAACGUGCGCGUAGAAAGCUUUCUGUGGAACGUUACCUCUGAGGCCAGUUGCCAAAACCCAACCAUAAGGGUGUCAUCCCAUGGACCAUAUCUUAGAGGUUUUUACUUACAAGUGAGAACAAGAAUGAAUGCAUUAAAAAGUGAUUUUGUCCAGAUAACUUCAGGAUAUAGAAAGCCAUUUACUUUGUCUACCAAGAGGACCCGAUUCUGCAUCUCCAGCUGCAACUGAUCUGUAAGAUUUGGAAGACUCCCAGGAGUGUUGACCGGGGUAUCUGGGAUUAAUGGUUGACCCCCAUUACACAUCCAGAACCCUACUCCCCCAUCUACUUCUCAGAUUUGGCCUUCAGCCAAAGAGCUCCUCAUUGCAAAGUUUAAGAAUGUGACAUAUACAAACAUGAUCACAGAAUGCAUUCCAUAUGCUGGCUUUUGGGUCACACAGAAUGGAGAUGUUAAGAAUAUGUUAAUAUGGUUGCUUUUAAGACAAUUUUGUAUUGUGGUUUUUGCUUUCCUAAAUGCCUGAAGUCUUUCUUAUUGUGCCAAAUUUAGCAAGAAAUCUAGAAAAUGAAAGGCGGUAGUGGAACUAAAACAUUCAAAUUUUAACUCUAUAAUAUACCAUUGAGUUUCACAUAUUAUAAAAACUUAAUAUGAUUCAGAUAAGUCUGGUAGUGUCAAAACCUUCAAAUCCAUAAAAUACAGUACGUAGUAAGUAACUCAGAUGUUUAUUAAGCAUCUACUAUAUACAAAGCUCCAUUCUAUGUAUUUUGUAAGAACUACAAAGGGAAUAAUAUAUUGAUUCAGGCCUUCAAGGAGUGUACAGUUGAACUGGGUAUAAAGGAGAGGAGUAAUGCUCAUAUAAGACUGUAGUGAAUCCAAGGAUUAGAGCUCUCUUAUUAUAUAUGAGAGAAGGAAAAGUCUGAGUACUUCUUUUAAGCUGUUUUACUGUCACAAGGUGAGGUAUACUUUAAAAAUAUGGUACAUUUUGCCAUGGAUUCCUUGCUAUAUUUGUGUAUGUAUGUGUGUGUGCCUUCUUAGUAUUUGUUUCUGUGAUUUGAUUAUAAUGUGUAUAGUUACAUAUUUUUAAAACUUUAAUCUUUGAAUGUAUUGAUCUUUCAGAUAAGAUAAUUUGAAUGUUUUGGCAGUAACAGAAAAUUUUUAGCCAUUUUCAAUUUGAAUAUUGCCUCUUCUCCAUUCUCUUUAUUGCAUCCCUCAUAAAACCUGGUUGUGAUUUG
This 1394-nucleotide long non-coding RNA is filed under the name Bos indicus x Bos taurus (hybrid cattle). RNAcentral's name for it is "lncRNA (ENSBIXG00000011021.1)". The record is from RNAcentral. Lineage: Eukaryota; Metazoa; Chordata; Mammalia; Artiodactyla; Bovidae.